CAGUAGGGAAGAAGCGAAAGUGACGGUACCUGCAGAAGAAGCGCCGGCUAACUACGUGCCAGCAGCCGCGGUAAUACGUAGGGCGCAAGCGUUAUCCGGAUUUAUUGGGCGUAAAGAGCUCGUAGGCGGUUUGUCGCGUCUGCCGUGAAAGUCCGAGGCUCAACCUCGGAUCUGCGGUGGGUACGGGCAGACUAGAGUGAUGUAGGGGAGACUGGAAUUCCUGGUGUAGCGGUGAAAUGCGCAGAUAUCAGGAGGAACACCGAUGGCGAAGGCAGGUCUCUGGGCAUUUACUGACGCUGAGGAGCGAAAGCAUGGGGAGCGAACAGGAUUAGAUACCCUGGUAGUCCAUGCCGUAAACGUUGGGCACUAGGUGUGGGGAACAUUCCACGUUUUCCGCGCCGUAGCUAACGCAUUAAGUGCCCCGCCUGGGGAGUACGGCCGCAAGGCUAAAACUCAAAGGAAUUGACGGGGGCCCGCACAAGCGGCGGAGCAUGCGGAUUAAUUCGAUGCAACGCGAAGAACCUUACCAAGGCUUGACAUGUGCCAGACCGCCUCAGAGAUGGGGUUUCCCUUCGGGGCUGGUUCACAGGUGGUGCAUGGUUGUCGUCAGCUCGUGUCGUGAGAUGUUGGGUUAAGUCCCGCAACGAGCGCAACCCUCGUUCCAUGUUGCCAGCACGUAAUGGUGGGGACUCAUGGGAGACUGCCGGGGUCAACUCGGAGGAAGGUGGGGAUGACGUCAAAUCAUCAUGCCCCUUAUGUCUUGGGCUUCACGCAUGCUACAAUGGCCGGUACAAUGGGUUGCGAUACUGUGAGGUGGAGCUAAUCCCUAAAAGCCGGUCUCAGUUCGGAUUGGGGUCUGCAACUCGACCCCAUGAAGUCGGAGUCGCUAGUAAUCGCAGAUCAGCAACGCUGCGGUGAAUACGUUCCCGGGCCUUGUACACACCGCCCGUCAAGUCACGAAAGUUGGUAACACCCGAAGC
Molecule: ribosomal RNA, 980 nt
Filed under: Arthrobacter sp.
Lineage: Bacteria; Bacillati; Actinomycetota; Actinomycetes; Micrococcales; Micrococcaceae
Description: bacterial SSU rRNA
Rfam family: Bacterial small subunit ribosomal RNA
Source: RNAcentral